GAGUUUGAUCCUGGCUCAGGAUGAACGCUAGCGGCAGGCCUAAUACAUGCAAGACGAACGGUAAGAUUUGUAGCAAUACGAAUCCUAGAGUGUCGCAAGGGUGCGUAACACGUAUGCAAUCUACCCUGUACAGGAGUAUAGCUCCCCGAAAGGGGAAUUAACCCUCCAUAAUAUGAUGAGUCGGCAUCGGCUUAUUAUUAAAACUGAGGUGGUACAGGAUGAGCAUGCGUCUGAUUAGCUAGUUGGUAGUGUAAUGGACUACCAAGGCAAUGAUCAGUAGGGGAACUGAGAGGUUGAUCCCCCACACUGGCACUGAGAUACGGGCCAGACUCCUACGGGAAGCAGCAGUAGGGAAUAUUGGACAAUGGGUGAGAGCCUGAUCCAGCCAUGCCGCGUGCAGGAAGAAGGCCUUCUGGGUUGUAAACUGCUUUUAUCUGGGGAUAAAAAGGCCUUGCGAGGCAAACUGAAGGUACCAGAUGAAUAAGCCACGGCUAACUACGUGCCAGCAGCCGCGGUAAUACGUAGGUGGCAAGCGUUGUCCGGAUUUAUUGGGUUUAAAGGGUGCGUAGGCGGUUUAUUAAGUCAGUGGUGAAAGACGAUAGCUUAACUAUCGAGGUGCCAUUGAUACUGAUGAACUUGAGUGCACACGAUGUAAGCGGAAUGGACGGUGUAGCGGUGAAAUGCAUAGAUAUCGUCCAGAACACCGAUAGUGAAGA
This 716-nucleotide ribosomal RNA is filed under the name uncultured organism. RNAcentral's name for it is "bacterial SSU rRNA". It matches the Rfam family "Bacterial small subunit ribosomal RNA", at positions 9 to 721 of the family's 1533-position model. The record is from RNAcentral.